Molecule: ribosomal RNA, 1332 nt
Filed under: Triticum aestivum (bread wheat)
Lineage: Eukaryota; Viridiplantae; Streptophyta; Magnoliopsida; Poales; Poaceae
Description: partial small subunit ribosomal RNA
Source: RNAcentral
CCAGAUCUACUGGAUUAUGUAAUACCAAGACUAAAGAUGCGAUUCAAAGAUGUAGAGAAAGCAAGGGAAUUUUAUAACAGAUACGCCAGACACGCUGGUUUUGGAAUCAGGAAGAAGGGUGGAAAUGACAACCACAAGUAUUUUGUUUGCGCCUUCCAAGGGAUACACACAUCUUCUGUUUUAGAGGCUAGCAGGAAGCGAAACAAAACAUCGCAAAGGACGGGCUGCAAUGCAAGAAUGAGGAUGAAGGUGCGGGAGGAUGGCACAUGCGUGGCAGUGGACAUUGAGUACAAUCAUAAUCACCAGCUCAUGCAAACUGAUGACAUGCUGGUAUUUUUGCACUCACUCAAGAAUUAUGACCCCACUAUUUUGGAGUACGUAAAGCUCCUGCAGUACCAUGAUGUCAAGCACACAACAAUCAUGUCCAUGCUAUCUGAAAAUGAAGAUGGAAGCUACUUCCUAAGCAUGACCGGACGAGACCUGCUAAACUAGAAAGCCAUGAAUGCAAGGAAAGAUGAUUUGGAUGAUGUUUUGAAACUUGUUUCAUUCUUCAAAGACACGAAGGCAAUAAAUGAUGAGUUUUUCUAUGACAUCCAAGUGGACAAGGAUAAGUCAAUUAAAAACAUUUUCUGGUCCAAUGCAAGCUGCCGAGGAGCCUAUCAAGACUUCGGCAAUUGCGUAACAUUCGACACGACUUAAAAGACCAACAGAUUUCAUAUGCCCCUGGGAGUGUUUGUUGGAACAAACCAUCACUUGCAGUCAACAAUAUUUGUUGUUGCCCUGAUAAGAGACGAAGAUGCAAAGUCAUUCAAGUGGUUGUUCGAUACAUUUCUACGGUGCAUGGACAAUAAGCACCCAACUUGCAUUCUAACAGACCAGUGCCCAUCGAUGGCGAAAGCUAUACCACAAUCAUUUCCAAACACCGUCCACAAGCUAUGUUGUUAGCACAUCAUGAAGUACAGGGAGUACCUCGCGUUGCUGUACAAAAAGUAUAAAACAUUCAAAGAGGAGUUCACAGCUAUAUUAAACCCGCUGAUGCCAAUGGAGAUUGAAGAUGCCUGGGCUAAGCUCGUGCACAAGUACAACCUGGAGAAUGACCAGAUGAUGAUGCAACUCUGGAGUGAUAGGAAGAUGUGGAUUUCAGCAUAUUACAAGAACAUUUUCUGUGCUAGAAUGACUUCCACACAACAAAGCGAGAGCAUGAACCACGUGCUAAAGAAAGGGUUUGUCAAGGGGACCCAGAACCUACACAAGUUUGCUAGGCGGGUCAAUGCUUGCAUACAAACUCGGAUGCAGAAGGAGAACGAGCAAAUAAUGACCAGCAUGGUAUGA